AUUUCAUUUGUUAAUUAUAUAUGCCUGUUUCUCUUGUAUAUUUUUAGUCUUUUUAGUUUAAGGCAAAAGUUAUGGCAGUGACAGGGAUUAGUACCUGUUUUAUGUGGUGUAAAAAAGUACUGCAAUCUUUUGGAUCCAUUCUAUGUUUGUUUAGCCAGGAAGAUUCACAAGCCUUUAGGAAUGGCGGGUUAAUGAUGUUUGGGUUCAAAUUGGAUUUUAGAUAGUUUACAGGAGAUAUAGGACUGGUACCAACUAUUAUCUGGCGAAUGGUUACGCCAGAAAACUUAACAGUUGCAGUCAUAGAUUAAAACACUGAAAAGGAAGAAGGUUCUGCUAGCAUGUAUAAGCUCUAUUUUUUGUCCUAGACUAAUUGAGUCAUGGGUUUGUUAAUUCCAUUAAUCUAACUGUAUUUUGAGAUUCACAAACAGUACCAGUAAUUUUUCCCCCUCAGGCAAGACAUGACAAGGGGUGAAUAAGCGGAGGAAUAGAGAGAGGAUAUCUGGUUUUGGUCUUUUUGGAGUAGAAUUUGGGACAAAGAACCCUGGUCUCUCAGUACAUGUAGAAGUUGGUAUUCAUUCACAUGAAAUUAUAUUUGGAUUGAUGGCGAGUUUUGCAAAAUCAUGGUAACAUUGUGAUUUUGUUGAAGCUCUAAGAUGUUGUUUUUGUUAAAAUUGUGGUGGUUCACCUUGAUUCCGCGAAAGUCACUGCCGAUCCAAAGUGCAAAACCUUCCCUCUUGUAUUUCU
This 744-nucleotide long non-coding RNA is filed under the name Medicago truncatula (barrel medic). Its description in RNAcentral is "long non-coding RNA (MTRU_LNC000755)". The record is from RNAcentral. Lineage: Eukaryota; Viridiplantae; Streptophyta; Magnoliopsida; Fabales; Fabaceae.